Molecule: ribosomal RNA, 422 nt
Filed under: uncultured bacterium
Lineage: Bacteria
Description: bacterial SSU rRNA
Rfam family: Bacterial small subunit ribosomal RNA
Source: RNAcentral
UAGGGAAUAUUGGUCAAUGGGCGAGAGCCUGAACCAGCCAUGCCGCGUGCAGGAAGAAGGCCCUCUGGGUUGUAAACUGCUUUUGACAGGGGCCAAAAUACUCAUGCGUGAGGAAUUGAGAGUACCUGUAGAAUAAGCACCGGCUAACUCCGUGCCAGCAGCCGCGGUAAUACGGAGGGUGCAAGCGUUGUCCGGAUUUAUUGGGUUUAAAGGGUGCGUAGGUGGCCUUAUAAGUCAGUGGUGAAAGCCUGCAGCUUAACUGUAGGACUGCCAUUGAUACUGUAGGGCUUGAGUACUGAUGAGGUAGGCGGAAUUGAUAGUGUAGCGGUGAAAUGCAUAGAUAUUAUCAAGAACACCGAUUGCGAAGGCAGCUUACUAAGGAGUUACUGACACUGAGGCACGAAAGCGUGGGGAUCAAACAG